This 1037-nucleotide unclassified non-coding RNA is filed under the name Hevea brasiliensis (rubber tree). The record is from RNAcentral. Lineage: Eukaryota; Viridiplantae; Streptophyta; Magnoliopsida; Malpighiales; Euphorbiaceae.
AAAAAAAAAAAUAUUAUUAUGGCAAAUUCAUCUCUGAAAACAGUAGGUUUUUUCCUUCUAUAUAAUGUCCUACUAUGUGGUACUGAAUGAAGGUAAAUCACCAUUGGCAAUGCCACUUACCUGCUGCUCUGUGCUUUACCUUCAAGUGCAGAACAAAAGAGCGAAGUAAUUUUGGAAAUAAACUAAGACUGCCUCUGUCAGGAAAAGAUUUUCCUCCCCCUUUUUCCCCCAAUAAUAAUUAACGAUGUAUGUGGCUUCCGGUUAACUAUACCCAAAACAUGUAAAUCAACAUGUUUUCCUCAACUUUUAGCCCAAUGCCAUAUCAGUUUCUCAAAGCUGCAGUUCCUUUAAUGCUAAUGAGUGUCAUAUUGUGACUGGGACAAGUUAAUGCAGUUGAUGUUGAGGAAAAGACAUUUAGGAGAAAUUUUCAUUUAAUUCUUGAUUGGUAAUUUGGGGCUCUAUUUAGGAGUUUCUAUUAGCUCUCUCCACGAAGUUAAAGUUUUACUCCAAUUUUGAAGUUGAAGAUGUUCAAAAUUCAGUAGGAAAACAUGGAAUGUAUUUACUUUUCCUGUGUGGUAUUUAUAAGGAACUUUCUAGCCUAGGACAUGCCUCAUGAAUGCAAUCCUUCUCUCUCUUUCUUCUAAUUUAAUGCAACCUUACUCUUCUUAACCCGCCUUUACAUUUUCCUCUUGCUUAUAUUUAUCAAUCUUCAAACCAUUACUAAUAACAGUAUGCAUGGGUAGAUCAGUCAAAUAUAUCCUACAUGAGUUUUGGCAAUUUCUAAUAAAGCAUUAUGAUAGAGAGUACUUCUAUACAGUUUAGUUAAUCAUAUCACUGGCCUUGUGAAUCAUAAAUUAAUUUCCAAACAAGCACCAAGCUCUAUAUAAGGGAUGCAACCAACAAAGAAGUUUACACAAUGCUGAUAGAUGAUUCCAAAAAUCAACAUGAUUCUUGAAGAACAAGACCCCAAACUCAAGAGCAUACACAUUAAUUUGACAGAAUUUCGAACCUAUAAGUUCAUAUAGAUUGAAACAAGG